CAUUAAGUUGGGCACUCUAAGUUGACUGCCGGUGACAAACCGGAGGAAGGUGGGGAUGACGUCAAAUCAUCAUGCCACUUAUGAUUUGGGCUACACACGUGCUACAAUGGACAAUACAAAGGGCAGCAAAACCGCGAGGUCAAGCAAAUCCCAUAAAGUUGUUCUCAGUUCGGAUUGUAGUCUGCAACUCGACUACAUGAAGCU
This 204-nucleotide ribosomal RNA is filed under the name Staphylococcus chromogenes. Its description in RNAcentral is "partial 16S ribosomal RNA". It matches the Rfam family "Bacterial small subunit ribosomal RNA", at positions 1122 to 1327 of the family's 1533-position model. The record is from RNAcentral. Lineage: Bacteria; Bacillati; Bacillota; Bacilli; Caryophanales; Staphylococcaceae.